CGAAAGCCUGACGGAGCAAGACCGCGUGAGGGAGGAAGGCCCUUGGGUUGUAAACCUCUUUUCUCAGGGAAGAAGACUGACGGUACCUGAGGAAUCAGCCUCGGCUAACUCCGUGCCAGCAGCCGCGGUAAUACGGAGGAGGCAAGCGUUAUCCGGAAUUAUUGGGCGUAAAGCGUCCGCAGGGGGCGCAUCAAGUCUGCUGUUAAAGGUCGGAGCUAAACUCCGGUAGAGCAGUGGAAACUGAUGCGCUAGAGGGCGACAGGGGUAGAGGGAAUUCCCAGUGUAGCGGUGAGAUGCGUAGAGAUUGGGAAGAACACCGGUGGCGAAAGCGCUCUACUGGGUCGCACCUGACCCUCAGGGACGAAAGCUAAGGGAGCG
RNAcentral lists this ribosomal RNA (378 nucleotides) under uncultured cyanobacterium. RNAcentral describes it as "bacterial SSU rRNA". It matches the Rfam family "Bacterial small subunit ribosomal RNA", at positions 376 to 770 of the family's 1533-position model. Lineage: Bacteria; Bacillati; Cyanobacteriota. The record is from RNAcentral.